This 497-nucleotide ribosomal RNA is filed under the name uncultured bacterium. RNAcentral describes it as "partial 16S ribosomal RNA". It matches the Rfam family "Bacterial small subunit ribosomal RNA", at positions 899 to 1397 of the family's 1533-position model. The record is from RNAcentral.
ACUCAAAGGAAUUGACGGGGGCCCGCACAAGCGGUGGAGUAUGUGGUUUAAUUCGAAGCAACGCGCAGAACCUUACCUACCCUUAACAUCCUAUGCUAGUGGUAGAGAUAUCAUGUUCUCUUCGGAGACGUAGAGAUAGGUGCUGCAUGGCUGUCGUCAGCUCGUGUUGUAAGAUGUCUGGUUAAGUCCAAUAACGAGCGCAACCCUUAUCUUUAGUUGCCAGCAUUAAGUUGGGCACUCUAGAGAGACUGCCGGUGUUAAGCCGGAGGAAGGCGGGGAUGACGUCAAGUCCUCAUGGCCCUUAUGGGUAGGGCUACACACGUACUACAAUGGCAGAGACAGACUGAUGCGAACCCGCGAGGGGGAGCCAAUCGGUAAAACACUGCCUCAGUUCGGAUUGGAGUCUGCAACUCGACUCCAUGAAGUUGGAAUCGCUAGUAAUCGCUGAUCAGCAAGCAGCGGUGAAUACGUUCCCGGGCCUUGUACACACCGCCCGU